RNAcentral lists this ribosomal RNA (497 nucleotides) under uncultured bacterium. RNAcentral describes it as "partial 16S ribosomal RNA". It matches the Rfam family "Bacterial small subunit ribosomal RNA", at positions 28 to 507 of the family's 1533-position model. The record is from RNAcentral.
GAUGAACGCUGGCGGCGUGCCUAAUACAUGCAAGUCGAGCGAACAGAUAAGGAGCUUGCUCCUUUGACGUUAGCGGCGGACGGGUGAGUAACACGUGGAUAACCUACCUAUAAGACUGGGAUAACUUCGGGAAACCGGAGCUAAUACCGGAUAACAUAUUGAACCGCAUGGUUCAAUAGUGAAAGGCGGCUUUGCUGUCACUUAUAGAUGGAUCCGCGCCGUAUUAGCUAGUUGGUAAGGUAGCGGCUUACCAAGGCAACGAUACGUAGCCGACCUGAGAGGGUGAUCGGCCACACUGGAACUGAGACACGGUCCAGACUCCUACGGGAGGCAGCAGUAGGGAAUCUUCCGCAAUGGGCGAAAGCCUGACGGAGCAACGCCGCGUGAGUGAUGAAGGUCUUCGGAUCGUAAAACUCUGUUAUCAGGGAAGAACAAAUGUGUAAGUAACUGUGCACAUCUUGACGGUACCUGAUCAGAAAGCCACGGCUAACUACGUG